AUUCCUCUGCCUUCCUCUACCACUAAUACAAUCCACUGCAAUAACACCCAACACCCAGCAAUACAAUUCACAAAAUCAUACUUCUUAGCUCUUAGAUUUCAGAUCCAAUUCAGAAGCAAUAGAGCCUGAUCACUGGUCAGUUGAGUAGAUGCUACUUGUAGUGAGGCAUCUUUGGGGAAAAGAUCAGGCAAAUCACAAGUUUUGGAGUACAAAGCAUUAUCUCCCCAUUAUAAGUAAUAUAUUUGAGAAGUGGUAUGCCAUCAACAGAUUUAAGAGGAAAACAUCUCUAAUUCUCAGCAAGAAAGCAAAGAAGCUCCACAUACAUAUCAGUCGAAGCUCUGGAGAAUAGACAGCAGACUUGAAUGCAUUUCCCGUACCAUCCAUUACAAUCACCAACUGGUGGAAGUCCAAGGAAAUCCCAAACUUGAUCAAAUCUCUGUAGUCCAUCGAAUUAUGUACGAUACACCUCCGCUGAAAAGAAAUCUCAUCAACUAUCAUAUUGUACAGCAAUUCAAGAAGACAAACCCUGUAGGAGCGUUCCAAAUCGGAGCCGACUUCCAUAAAGAAUCCCCCAAACAAGAUCAAAUCAU
Molecule: long non-coding RNA, 590 nt
Filed under: Panax ginseng (ginseng)
Lineage: Eukaryota; Viridiplantae; Streptophyta; Magnoliopsida; Apiales; Araliaceae
Description: long non-coding RNA (PGIN_LNC012317)
Source: RNAcentral